This 313-nucleotide ribosomal RNA is filed under the name uncultured bacterium US16. RNAcentral describes it as "bacterial SSU rRNA". It matches the Rfam family "Bacterial small subunit ribosomal RNA", at positions 38 to 354 of the family's 1533-position model. The record is from RNAcentral.
GGCGGCGUGCUUAACACAUGCAAGUCGAACGGUGACGCACCUUCGGGUGCUGAUCAGUGGCGAACGGGUGAGUAACACGUGGGCAACCUGCCCCUGACUCUGGGAUAACUCCUCGAAAGAGGUGCUAAUACCGGAUACCAUCCCCCUCGACAUCGUGGGGGGUUGAAAGUUUUUCGGUCAGGGGUGGGCCCGCGGCCUAUCAGCUAGUUGGUGGGGUAACGGCCCACCAAGGCGACGACGGGUAGCCGGCCUGAGAGGGCGACCGGCCACACUGGGACUGAGACACGGCCCAGACUCCUACGGGAGGCAGCAG